Long non-coding RNA from Alosa sapidissima (American shad), 854 nucleotides. RefSeq lists it as uncharacterized. The transcript is spliced from 2 exons. Lineage: Eukaryota; Metazoa; Chordata; Actinopteri; Clupeiformes; Clupeidae. The record is from RefSeq and is a predicted model, not a curated record.
GAUGAAGAUGAUGGAAUGGAAGAGGUGCAAAUGGAAGAUGAUGAGGAAUUUACAAUGCAAAGGAAUUGGAGAGCACCAGAGAGACAGAUGUCAGAGGAGGGAGGUGACAACAGACCUAAGAACUCAGCAAUAAACUUUAACCUCAACAUGUCUGGACUCCGAUCUAGUAUACAACAAAGCUGCAAAACACAAUGACAUAGACACUGACAGAGACAGAUGGCGAUGAGGAGAGAACAAAAGCAUGCCCUGUAAAAGGAAGAACAAGUAAACAUACCCUGCUUUUCCAAUGCCAGCUGUAACUGAUUUUAAAAUCUUGAUAUCCAUAUCCAAAUAACAGUGUAAUUGUUGAAAUGAACAGUGCGGUGCUACUGUAUGUUGCUACAAUCUUUCACUUACAGCAUGAGACUUGUUUUUGAUGUUGAAUAGAGCAAUGGGUGAGGGGAAAAAUGAUUUGCAGUGCACACAUGUGGCAGAGCGGCAUGCGUGCCUCCUGCAACAGCUCAUGGACUGGGAGUUUACCCAUCACUUUUCCUUUCUGUAAUAGCUAUUGAUUUCUUUUCAUCUGGUCAUACAAUCGAUACUUGCAACAAUGCAAUACACAAUGAUUAUACCCACUGCUUGGAAUGCUCAGACAUAAUAAUAGCAUUAAGAAGAAGAAAAACACAUGGAGAACAGAGGUGUACCAAAAUAUACUUUGGGUUUGUAAUAUUGAUUAAUUUGACAAACAACAGUAAAACCUAUUGUUCAUAACAUAUGCUGUCCAUGGCAACAUCAUAUUGUUAGUUGUGAUGCUAUAUCUUUUUUUCAUUAUAAUGUGAAGGUCUGUCAAGCAAUUAAAAAUCUAAUUAAUUACA